CACGUAGUUAGCCGUGACUUCCUCGCCGGGUACCAUCACUCAGAAAGCUUUCCACUCUUUCUGCCUUUUGUCCCCGGCAACAGAGCUUUACGAUCCGAAGACCUUCCUCGCUCACGCGGCAUUGCUCGUUCAGGGUUCCCCCCAUUGACGAAAAAUUCCCUACUGCUGCCUCCCGCAGGAGUCUGGGCCGUGUCUCAGUCCCAGUGUGGCCGUCCGCCCUCUCAGGCCGGCUAUGCAUCGUCGCCUUGGUGAGCCGUUACCUCUCCAACCAGCUAAUGCACCGCAGGUCCAUCUGCAUGGCGGGACUCUUGUCCCCUUUUACAAAAAAGAAGAUGCCUCCUCUUUGCUCAUCCGGUAUCAGCUUCCGUUCAGAAUUCUCCGCUCAUGCAGGCAGGUUCCCUAGUGUUACUCACCCGUUCGCCACUCAAUACUACCGAAGACUUACCCCGUUCGACUUUGCUAUGUAUUAGGCAGUGCCGCAGCGUUCAUCCUGAGCCAGGUA
RNAcentral lists this ribosomal RNA (502 nucleotides) under uncultured Allobaculum sp. RNAcentral's name for it is "partial 16S ribosomal RNA". The record is from RNAcentral. Lineage: Bacteria; Bacillati; Bacillota; Erysipelotrichia; Erysipelotrichales; Erysipelotrichaceae.